RNAcentral lists this ribosomal RNA (377 nucleotides) under uncultured eukaryote. RNAcentral describes it as "partial 18S ribosomal RNA". It matches the Rfam family "Eukaryotic small subunit ribosomal RNA", at positions 592 to 976 of the family's 1831-position model. The record is from RNAcentral.
CAAUAGCGUAUAUUUAAGUUGCUGCAGUUAAAAAGCUCGUAGUUGGAUUUCGGGUGGGAAUGGCCGGUCCGCCGUUUCGGUGUGCACUUGCUACGCCCACCUUGCUGCCGGGGACGUGCUCUUGAGUUCACGCUCGGGACACGGAGUCGGCGAGGUUACUUUGAGUAAAUUAGAGUGUUCAAAGCAGGCCUACGCUCUGAAUACAUUAGCAUGGAAUAACACGAUAGGACUCUGGCCUAUCUUGUUGGUCUGUAGGACCGGAGUAAUGAUUAAGAGGGACAGUCGGGGGCAUUUGUAUUUCAUUGUCAGAGGUGAAAUUCUUGGAUUUAUGAAAGACGAACUACUGCGAAGGCAUUUGCCAAGGAUGUUUUCAUUAA